ACCACAUAUGAGAACUUUCGUCAUAGAGGACUAAGAGGAGAUAACAGGAUCAAUGUGUAUGACCGGAGGUGUACGAAAAACUUUCUUGAAGUAUUCUGCUCGAGGAUAGAACCUUCGAAAAACAAUUUUCGUGGAUAUGUACAUGAAGAGGAAGUAGAGUUUAGGAAGACAUGAAACAUUCAAGUAACAGAAGUUGAUAACUCCUAUGGGGAUAGAAGAGUUAAGAUAGAAGAAGAUCGGGUGCACGAACAACUUUCGUGAAGUAUUCUGCUCGAGGAUAGAACCUUCGAAAAACAAUUUCCGUGGAUAUGUACAUGAAGAGGCAUUAAAGUCUAGUAAGGUAGGAAACAUUCAAGUAACGGAAGUUGAAACCUCUGACGGGGAUAGAAGAGUCAAGGUAGAAGAAGAUCUUGAGAUCGGAGAUGAUCUCA
This 431-nucleotide long non-coding RNA is filed under the name Nicotiana benthamiana. Its description in RNAcentral is "long non-coding RNA (NBEN_LNC041646)". The record is from RNAcentral. Lineage: Eukaryota; Viridiplantae; Streptophyta; Magnoliopsida; Solanales; Solanaceae.